GUGCCGAGGAUGUUGCUCAGUGGCUCAUAUACUAUAAUUGGAACAAUACAGAGAAGAUAAGCAUGGCCCCUGUAUAUAAGGAUGAUCCAUAAUAUGAAGUUGUCCAUCUUAAA
Small nuclear RNA from Ictidomys tridecemlineatus (thirteen-lined ground squirrel), 113 nucleotides. NCBI's taxonomy places the organism in Eukaryota, Metazoa, Chordata, Mammalia, Rodentia, Sciuridae. The record is from Ensembl.